AGGGCUGUGUAGACUUUUAGUAUCUAUCGUAACGGGGGUGUGUAGACUUUUAGUAUCUAUCGUAACGGGGGUGUGUAGACUUUUAGUAUCUAUUGUAACGGGAGUGUGUUAGACUUUUAAUAUCCGUCAUAACUAAUAUCAUGAUGCAGGUUUUAGGCGUGCUGAGUAAGUUUGAUAAAGUUAAAUAUACUCUUACACACUCAGGCGUCUUUAGACUUCACAUCGAUAUUUAGAAGUAUAAGGUCCCUUCAUAUAAUAAUUUAGUGUCAAGACUGAAGUGUACAUUUUUGAUUUUUUUUCCCUCCCAAAACAGCAUGCACCACGAGCAUCUUGUUCCUCUUACACGCUAACAAUUUUAAUUUUUUUAAAAAAACGACACGCCCUAAUCUUAUCCGUUUACACAUAUAUGUAAUGUCAUGGGACGUCCACAAACGAGUUAGAGAGAGAGAGAGUCAGGCACAAUUCGAAGACGCUGAAGUCUCCUGCUUUCAUGAAAGCAUUAAAAGAUGACCCGAGGCGAUGAGAAAACGACUGAACGUUGAGCCGAGAGUGAGACGGGUCAUCCUGUGUUCACCCUGGACAGCGCACGAAGACAAAUGGACACCGGUUUCUGUAGCCAGUCAGAGAACACUCAUCUAUUAAUGCUAACCAAAAAAAAUCUUUCCCCAAUGCUAGAUCGACGUCAAUCUGUCCUGACCCAAAGGUCAAAGGCGAGCCUGUAAGAGGAAAAGAAGGAGGACUUCAUCGCCACAACAUGCGCUUAUCAGAACAUGCUGACAAACUGACAGAGACACAGAGAGACAAAGGGACACGCAGUUCAGGCAUAAUGGCCGUCAAUUAGCAGCGUUUAAGUGUUCGAGUCGAGGCAGAGAAGCGGCGGCGAGGGCGGAGGGCAAUAAAGACAAACAAGUGUCACAAAGAAAGCGCACAAAGCAUCCGCCGUCGAGCCGAGCGCACGGUUCCAUGUCCAAACGCCCGACAGUUAUAAAAGCACCGAUUCUGCUUCACGGUGUCAACAAAGACGAGGCGAGUCAUUACCGACGACUGAACGCACGCAGACGUGACGAGACCAUCUUUUGUCAGGGAAGGGAAGUAUCGGCACCCGACAGCUCAAUUCAUAUCCCCGAUUGAGACACAAUUUAUUCUCAUUACCUGCAGUCUAUCCUCAUAUUCUCACACACUCGAGCCAUUAGGCUACUGCCACAACAGAACAUAUCGUUUAUUGAUCCAAAACAUAAAUUCACUUAACGUAACCUGAACGUGAUUUAAUCCAGUAAACUCCGCUGGUCAUGAUCAGAUAAUACCUGUUUAAUCCAGUUCUGAUCUGCUGUAAAAUUUACAUGGAGUUGACGUGCAAAAGGUAAACGUUUUGAGAUAUAUAUAUAUAUAUAUAUAUAUAUAUACAUAUACCAGGAACUGCUUUAGUCCCAACAUUCAGCUGGAAUGAUCAGUUAUCAGUGGAUAUGACGCACUACUGCGCAGGGUCUUAAACUCCUCCCUGUUCUACGCUAUGUAUUGAGCAUGUAUAGUGAUUUUUUCUUUCUCUCUCUCUCUUUUUUUUUUUUUUACACGGAUCCCAAAUGUAUCACUAGCAAAGAGAACAUUUUGCUCGCAUCCGAAACGUGAUUAAAACGAUGACGUGAUUUUACUUAAAUAAGAUCUUGCCAUCUAUCAAAGGAGCGCAUCAUUUGCAUCUUGUAAACAAACAAACAAAAACAAACAAACAAAUACGAUACUUUUCAUCUUUUGCUAUUUAAGAGUAGAAAGAAUGCGUAGUAUUGCGUUAUCGAUACUGGGUCUGGGGCAAUAAAUAAAUGAUCGGCUCAUUAUAAUUCAAACAACACACACACACACACACACACACACACACACACACACAGACAACAACAAACACCCCCAAGAAAGAACUAACUUAACCUCAAAAACGCUCGCCAACAUCUGGGACAAAGCCGAGGCAAUGUGAGGGAAAACAGACAGACGGAGGGAAAUGGAAGAUAGAAGGCCAGAGGAAAGUCCCAGUAAGCCUGUGUGUGUGUGUGUGUGUGUGUGUGUGUCCGCUCUCCGUCUCGCUGGCAGCAGCUGAAAACAGGUCGAUCGAUGGCUUUACUGGAGGAAUAUUUAAUCAGAGAGCGGUCCAGCACACUGCUCAGCUGUGCACUCCCAACACAGUCACAUUAUUAUGCUGAAAGGAGUUCCAGUGUGUUCACACACACACACACACACACACCCACACACACACACGAACAGAACGGACGAGGGGAAUGACAAAACAGCCACGGAAGAAAGAAACGCCUAAAUGUCGACCAUUACACAAGUAUGUUUAAUAAUGUCCUGGAGAGUAGGGUAAACAAAAAAAGGAUGUUAUACACAUACGUCCCGGAGGGGAGAAAGAAAAAGAUAGAGAGAGAACGAAAGACUGGGCCGUCAAAACAAGCCGGCGAGAAAACAAGCAGCAGACAACAGGAGUGAUUAAAGGGAGGAUGAAUUCCUCCGUCCUCUCUCCGAUUCAAACAUCUUCCUCCUUCGGCACAGAGCCAUCAGCCGUCCACCGUGCUCUUCUCUUCCUUCUUCUCCAUGUCUCUAUUACGAAACAGCACCACUACACCUGAAC
Molecule: long non-coding RNA, 2611 nt
Organism: Ictalurus punctatus (channel catfish)
Lineage: Eukaryota; Metazoa; Chordata; Actinopteri; Siluriformes; Ictaluridae
Source: Ensembl